Suricata suricatta (meerkat) is the source of this 550-nucleotide long non-coding RNA. RefSeq lists it as uncharacterized. Lineage: Eukaryota; Metazoa; Chordata; Mammalia; Carnivora; Herpestidae. The record is from RefSeq and is a predicted model, not a curated record. The transcript has 2 exons.
GGCGGCUCCCUGGCUUUCAGGGAGGCUUUCAGGGAACGGAUAAGCUGACCAAACUAGUUGAGAUGCAUCGUGGAGGGUGGAGGGCAGAACGCAACGUAGGGCUGCGCACACUGGCCCUGCCAGUGUGAGAUCAGGUCGGCUUUAAAAGCCAUCUCGGCCCCUCCCUCUUCCAGAAGGGAGGUUCACUGAGGUGUUCCCGUCUCUUCUUGGCAGUCUGGGUUCCCGUGUGGCUGUUGAUUUCUGUGGCUUCAUACCGUUGGCCGGCUUGUGAUGGAAUUUUGGUGCCAGCCUCCUCACUGUGAUGGCCCGGGUGCCUAGCGACAUCAGCCCCGCCAUUUCUGUGCAGGCUCUGUCAUCAUUCCAGACACACAGAUUGGGUCUUCCGGGGUUCGAUGUUCAGCUCUGGUCAAAACCAGGGCAGGGGCCCAUGGAUCCAGGUAGCUGCAGGGACACCCCUGGGGCUUGACACAUGCCUGCAAUGAAACCUUUUUUUGGGAAGCCUUUGGUCUUUCAAAAACAUUUUAAUGAUGAAAAUAAAAAUGGUGAGGAA